GAAAAUCCUAUUCAGCAUGGCAAGACCAAACACAUAAGGUUAAGUUCCACUACUACAUUCGAGAAGCAGAUAAGAAUUUGGAGAAUAAAUUGUUCAUUACGGUUAUGAGGAGCACCUAGCAAACAUUUUAACAGAAGCAUUUCCAGGGGCAAGAUUUUCGAUUCUGAGAUUAUUGCUAGGAAGGUUAGAGGUAAUUAAGACUCGAAGCUUGAAGAGGCGGGAGCUAGCUUAUGUACGGCAGGCGCCAACUGUAUCAAGUUCACAAGCCAAACAUAUCAGAAACUGCUCGACAUCAUUAUCCUUCAAUUCUUCUGCCUCAGGCUAAAUUCUCUGCAAAGUUCUGCGCCUUCUGAUACUAAUUCAAUUUCUGAGUUUCAUAUCUUGGGAUUAGAAUUAUGGCUGAGGAGAACGGGGAUCCCAGGAUGCAUGAGGCCAACACAUCAAAUUCUCAGGAGCAGGAGAAACACUCCAGCUCCAACGGAAGCAAAGAGAAUGACAAAGAGAAAGCUAAGACAGUUCCUUUUCUUAAGCUCUUCUCCUUUGCAGAUUCCACUGAUGUCUUGUUGAUGAUUACUGGCACGGUUGGUGCCAUUGGGAAUGGAGUGUCUAUGCCUCUAAUGUCGUUGCUAUUGGGACAAAUGAUUGAUUCCUUUGGAGGAAACCAGAGUGAUAAAGAUAUAGUUAAUAUAGUUUCCAAGGUCUCUCUAAAAUAUGUCUACUUGGCAGUAGGAGCUGGAGCAGCAGCCUUUCUUCAGGUGACCUGCUGGAUGGUCACAGGGGAAAGACAGGCAGCACGAAUCAGGAGUUACUAUUUGAAAACUAUAUUGAGACAAGAUAUUGCUUUCUUUG
RNAcentral lists this unclassified non-coding RNA (849 nucleotides) under Hevea brasiliensis (rubber tree). Lineage: Eukaryota; Viridiplantae; Streptophyta; Magnoliopsida; Malpighiales; Euphorbiaceae. The record is from RNAcentral.